CGGUGUACUCAUCAAGGCAAUGCGUUUCGGGGAUUUUAAAUUUCAACGCCCCCACCUAACUGUUUUCAUACUAAAAAAGUCACGUGUUAAUAGGAUUGUUAAGGAUAUGCCUUUGGAAAGUUUAAAUUUCUAUCGCCACCACUCCACGUCUACUUAUAUGUUAGCAAAAUUUCUAGAAAAAUUUUACCUUUUUUGAUGAACAUUUUUUUCGUUCGAU
This is a non-coding RNA of Cinara cedri, 217 nucleotides long. Lineage: Eukaryota; Metazoa; Arthropoda; Insecta; Hemiptera; Aphididae. The record is from the annotation of a GenBank genome assembly.